GCUCAGGAUGAACGCUAGCUACAGGCUUAACACAUGCAAGUCGAGGGGUAGCAGGGUAGCAAUACCGCUGACGACCGGCGCACGGGUGAGUAACACGUAUCCAACCUUCCCAUUACUCGGGGAUAGCCUUUCGAAAGAAAGAUUAAUACCCGAUAGUACUUUUUCGAGGCAUCUCGUAAAAAGUUAAAGAUUUAUUGGUAAUGGAUGGGGAUGCGUUCCAUUAGAUUGUUGGUGAGGUAACGGCUCACCAAGUCUUCGAUGGAUAGGGGUUCUGAGAGGAAGGUCCCCCACAUUGGUACUGAGACACGGACCAAACUCCUACGGGAGGCAGCAGUGAGGAAUAUUGGUCAAUGGGCGAGAGCCUGAACCAGCCAAGUAGCGU
RNAcentral lists this ribosomal RNA (382 nucleotides) under uncultured Bacteroidales bacterium. RNAcentral describes it as "bacterial SSU rRNA". It matches the Rfam family "Bacterial small subunit ribosomal RNA", at positions 22 to 402 of the family's 1533-position model. The record is from RNAcentral. Lineage: Bacteria; Pseudomonadati; Bacteroidota; Bacteroidia; Bacteroidales.